CCUACGGGAGGCAGCAGUGGAGAAUCAUGGACAAUGGGGGAAAGCCUGAUGGAGCGACGCCGCGUGGGGGAAGGAAGGUCUCCGGAUUGUAAACUCCUGUCAUGUGGGAGCAAAUUAAAAAGAUAGUACCAUAAGAGGAAGAGACGGCUAACUCUGCGCCAGCAGCCGCGGUAAUACAGAGGUCGCAAGCGUUGUGCGGAAUCACUGGGCGUAAAGGGUGCGUAGGCUGGGUCGUAAGUCGUGUGUGAAAGGCGCGGGCUCAACCCGCGGACGGCACUUGAUACUGCGUUUGUAGAGUGGUGGAGAGGGAACCGGAAUUCUCGGUGUAGCGGUGAAAUGCGUAGAUAUCAAGAAGAACACUCGUGGCGAAGGCAGCUUCCUGGACUGUAACUGACGCUGAGGCACGAAAGCCUGGGGAGCGAACAGGAUUAGAUACCCCGGUAGUC
This 446-nucleotide ribosomal RNA is filed under the name uncultured bacterium. RNAcentral describes it as "partial 16S ribosomal RNA". It matches the Rfam family "Bacterial small subunit ribosomal RNA", at positions 338 to 795 of the family's 1533-position model. The record is from RNAcentral.